RNAcentral lists this ribosomal RNA (253 nucleotides) under uncultured bacterium. Its description in RNAcentral is "partial 16S ribosomal RNA". It matches the Rfam family "Bacterial small subunit ribosomal RNA", at positions 524 to 776 of the family's 1533-position model. The record is from RNAcentral.
UACGGAGGAUGCGAGCGUUAUCCGGAUUUAUUGGGUUUAAAGGGAGCGUAGACGGUAAUGUAAGUCUGGAGUGAAAGGCGGGGGCCCAACCCCCGGACUGCUCUGGAAACUAUGUUACUAGAGUGCAGGAGAGGUAAGCGGAAUUCCUAGUGUAGCGGUGAAAUGCGUAGAUAUUAGGAGGAACACCAGUGGCGAAGGCGGCUUACUGGACUGUAACUGACGUUGAGGCUCGAAAGCGUGGGGAGCAAACAGG